GUUGACCUCGGAUCAGGUAGGGAUACCCGCUGAACUUAAGCAUAUCAAUAAGGC
This 54-nucleotide ribosomal RNA is filed under the name Cladosporium ramotenellum. RNAcentral's name for it is "partial 28S ribosomal RNA". The record is from RNAcentral. Lineage: Eukaryota; Fungi; Ascomycota; Dothideomycetes; Cladosporiales; Cladosporiaceae.